This 253-nucleotide ribosomal RNA is filed under the name uncultured bacterium. Its description in RNAcentral is "partial 16S ribosomal RNA". It matches the Rfam family "Bacterial small subunit ribosomal RNA", at positions 524 to 776 of the family's 1533-position model. The record is from RNAcentral.
UACGUAGGGUGCGAGCGUUGUCCGGAAUUACUGGGCGUAAAGAGCUCGUAGGUGGUUUGUCGCGUUGUCCGUGAAAACUCACAGCUCAACUGUGGGCGUGCGGGCGAUACGGGCAGACUGGAGUACUGCAGGGGAGACUGGAAUUCCUGGUGUAGCGGUGGAAUGCGCAGAUAUCAGGAGGAGCACCGGUGGCGAAGGCGGGUCUCUGGGCAGUAACUGACGCUGAGGAGCGAAAGCGUGGGGAGCGAACAGG